This is a long non-coding RNA of Tupaia belangeri chinensis (Chinese tree shrew), 639 nucleotides long. RefSeq lists it as uncharacterized. The transcript has 3 exons. Lineage: Eukaryota; Metazoa; Chordata; Mammalia; Scandentia; Tupaiidae. The record is from RefSeq and is a predicted model, not a curated record.
CCACCACCAGAACCCUGGCACUCAGGAAAGCUCAGAUCGGGAUAGACAAAUAUCACUCGCUGCUCAUCACAUGCCAACCAUGUGCCAGGCCCUAUCCUGCAGCCCGAGACAUGGAUCAACAGAAGUGAGUUUAUAUGGAGCUCCGUGGACAGACAAGAAGAGAAGCAAAUAAAUGUCUAACUUCACAUAAUGAAGAGCUAUGAGGAAGCCAAGGCAAUGACCCCAGGAAUCCAGAAGAUGAGGUACUGGUCUAUUACAAGAGAUGAUUUACAUGGCACAGGACAUUGUUGGUGGCACCAAAAGACAAGAUAAAGCACAGAAGAGAAAGGGCCACUUGAAAAGGGAAGCCUCCUCUGUGAUGAGCAGUGUUUCUGUUUUACGCUUUACAAUGAAGGUUCCACUAAUGUGGUCUGCUCAGCGUCAUUCCUCUCUACACAGUCUGUGAUGCUGUCCUCACCAAAAUACUGGUUAUUGAUCCCUUUAUUUCUGAGAGUGUAGACAUUUGCCCUGGAUUGAUUAAAAUUGCUGUGAUUAUAGGAUAGACAGAAUAUAAUGUUUGAUGAAAGUAACAGGAUAUUCUUCAAAUACCAGAAUUCUCUGAAAUAAAAUUUCUUAUAUAUGAUCAUAAACAUGUAAACA